GAUGAACGCUGACAGAAUGCUUAACACAUGCAAGUCAACUUGAACUUCGGUUUGGGUGGCGGACGGGUGAGUAACGCGUAAAGAACUUGCCUCACAGCUAGGGACAACAUUUGGAAACGAAUGCUAAUACCUGAUAUUAUGAUUUUAGGGCAUCCUAGAAUUAUGAAAGCUAUAUGCGCUGUGAGAGAGCUUUGCGUCCCAUUAGCUAGUUGGAGAGGUAACGGCUCACCAAGGCGAUGAUGGGUAGCCGGCCUGAGAGGGUGAACGGCCACAAGGGGACUGAGACACGGCCCUUACUCCUACGGGAGGCAGCAGUGGGGAAUAUUGGACAAUGGACCAAGAGUCUGGUCCAGAAAUUCUGUGUGCACGAUGAAGUUUUUCGGAAUGUAAAGUGCUUUCAGUUGGGAAGAAAAAAAUGACGGUACCAACAGAAGAAGUGACGGCUAAAUACGUG
This 454-nucleotide ribosomal RNA is filed under the name uncultured bacterium. RNAcentral's name for it is "partial 16S ribosomal RNA". It matches the Rfam family "Bacterial small subunit ribosomal RNA", at positions 28 to 507 of the family's 1533-position model. The record is from RNAcentral.